AUCCUUCCCGGCACAGGAGAAACCAUGGUCACAAAGGUGGUUAACCCAGGGCACAGCUUCCCCACUGCACACCUGAUGUGCUGAACUCUGAAGUUUCCCCAGAGUCGGGAAACUGGUGACUGCAGAAUUGUGGCAGUGGGGAACUGUGUUGACACUCUCCCCUG
Molecule: small nuclear RNA, 164 nt
Organism: Onychomys torridus (southern grasshopper mouse)
Lineage: Eukaryota; Metazoa; Chordata; Mammalia; Rodentia; Cricetidae
Product: U1 spliceosomal RNA
Exons: 1
Source: RefSeq, a predicted model, not a curated record